GUAGUGGUAGUUCAGUGGUAAAAUUCUUGCCUUUUGUGCAGGAAGCCUGGGUUUGGUUCUCAGCCAAUGCC
Molecule: transfer RNA, 71 nt
Filed under: Loxodonta africana (African savanna elephant)
Lineage: Eukaryota; Metazoa; Chordata; Mammalia; Proboscidea; Elephantidae
Rfam family: tRNA
About the family: Transfer RNA (tRNA) molecules are approximately 80 nucleotides in length. Their secondary structure includes four short double-helical elements and three loops (D, anti-codon, and T loops). Further hydrogen bonds mediate the characteristic L-shaped molecular structure. tRNAs have two regions of fundamental functional importance: the anti-codon, which is responsible for specific mRNA codon recognition, and the 3' end, to which the tRNAs corresponding amino acid is attached (by aminoacyl-tRNA synthetases). tRNAs cope with the degeneracy of the genetic code in two manners: having more than one tRNA (with a specific anti-codon) for a particular amino acid; and 'wobble' base-pairing, i.e. permitting non-standard base-pairing at the 3rd anti-codon position.
Source: Rfam by way of RNAcentral